AAGGUACAAACACGCCUGGGUUUAAAGGGAAUGGAACAUUACACUCUGAUUGGCUUAUUGCAUGUUAAGCCCAAAACACGCCUAUGAUUAAUUAAGACAUUAAGUACAACCCUUUCAAACCAUGCACCUGGUGCACAGACCCUUUUUUUCUGCUGUUAAACUAGGAAAAGUGGAUUUGUACACGCCCUAAACGCACCUGCACCAGGAGCUUCACGCCGUGUGCUUAGGUCAUUAAAAUAGGGCCCAUCGACUGUUACCAAAAAACCCUGCAC
Long non-coding RNA from Etheostoma spectabile (orangethroat darter), 272 nucleotides. RefSeq lists it as uncharacterized. NCBI's taxonomy places the organism in Eukaryota, Metazoa, Chordata, Actinopteri, Perciformes, Percidae. The record is from RefSeq and is a predicted model, not a curated record. The transcript is spliced from 4 exons.